UACAGAGGUCUCAACCGUUGUUCGGAUUCAUUGGGCGUAAAGGGUGCGUAGGCGGUCGCGCAAGUCGGAUGUGAAAUCUCAGGGCUCAACCCUGAAACUGCAUUCGAUACUGCGCGGCUAGAGUGCUGGAGGGGAGACUGGAAUUUACGGUGUAGCAGUGAAAUGCGUAGAUAUCUGGAGGAACACCGGUGGCGAAGGCGGCAUCCUGGACCGGUAUUGACGCUGAUGCGCGAAAGCCAGGGGAGCAAACGGG
RNAcentral lists this ribosomal RNA (253 nucleotides) under uncultured bacterium. RNAcentral's name for it is "partial 16S ribosomal RNA". It matches the Rfam family "Bacterial small subunit ribosomal RNA", at positions 524 to 776 of the family's 1533-position model. The record is from RNAcentral.